GACAGAGGAUGCAAGCGUUAUCCGGCAUUAUUGGGCGUAAAGCGUCCGCAGGUGGCUAUUCAAGUCUGCGGUCAAAGACUGGGGCUUAACCCUGGAAAGGCCGUGGAAACUGAAGAGCUAGAGUGCAGUAGGGGUAGAGGGAAUUCCCGGUGUAGCGGUGAAAUGCGUAGAGCUCGGGAAGAACAUCGGUGGCGAAAGCGCUCUGCUGGACUGCAACUGACACUCAGGGACGAAAGCUAGGGGAGCGAAUGGG
This 253-nucleotide ribosomal RNA is filed under the name uncultured bacterium. RNAcentral describes it as "partial 16S ribosomal RNA". It matches the Rfam family "Bacterial small subunit ribosomal RNA", at positions 524 to 776 of the family's 1533-position model. The record is from RNAcentral.